GACGAACGCUGGCGGCGUGCUUAACACAUGCAAGUCGAACGGAAAGGCCCUGCUUUUGUGGGGUGCUCGAGUGGCGAACGGGUGAGUAACACGUGAGUAACCUGCCCUUGACUUUGGGAUAACUUCAGGAAACUGGGGCUAAUACCGGAUAGGAGCUCCUGCUGCAUGGUGGGGGUUGGAAAGUUUCGGCGGUUGGGGAUGGACUCGCGGCUUAUCAGCUUGUUGGUGGGGUAGUGGCUUACCAAGGCUUUGACGGGUAGCCGGCCUGAGAGGGUGACCGGCCACAUUGGGACUGAGAUACGGCCCAGACUCCUACGGGAGGCAGCAGUGGGGAAUAUUGCACAAUGGGCGGAAGCCUGAUGCAGCAACGCCGCGUGCGGGAUGAUGGCCUUCGGGUUGUAAACCGCUUUCUCCUGUGACGAAGCGUGAGUGACGGUAAUGGGUAAAGAAGCACCGGCUAACUACGUG
RNAcentral lists this ribosomal RNA (468 nucleotides) under uncultured bacterium. RNAcentral describes it as "partial 16S ribosomal RNA". It matches the Rfam family "Bacterial small subunit ribosomal RNA", at positions 28 to 507 of the family's 1533-position model. The record is from RNAcentral.